This 798-nucleotide transfer RNA is filed under the name uncultured cyanobacterium. Its description in RNAcentral is "partial miscellaneous RNA". The stretch from base 259 to 331 matches the Rfam family "tRNA". The record is from RNAcentral. Lineage: Bacteria; Bacillati; Cyanobacteriota.
CAGGGAGACAAAACUGAUUUUGAUGUCUGAAUUACUUUAUUUUCAGGCCGAAAUCCUGUCACCUUAGGUCGAUCGGUACCUCAGUUUGAUAUACAAAACCAAGUAAUUGGUUUCUAUAAUUAUUGAAUUCAGUUCCUAAACUUUGUCUAGGUCACAACCAGCAAUGGUACUCCUGGGCCAUUAGCUCAGGUGGUUAGAGCGCACCCCUGAUAAGGGUGAGGUCCCUGGUUCAAGUCCAGGAUGGCCCAUUCGGCGUUGGGGGGUAUAGCUCAGUUGGUAGAGCGCCUGCUUUGCAAGCAGGAUGUCAGCGGUUCGAGUCCGCUUACCUCCACUGAACAACCUUCUGAUAGCGAACCUAAGGAGAAUUUUGUUGAUGUGAUCUAGAAUCCGUUCUUAAUGAAGAACCUAGCUUCUUGUCAUUUCCUCUAGAAAUAGUUUGGGAUUGAUAUGACGCUGGGCUCGCUGCAAUAUUUAUUGCAGAGCGUUCAGUAGAACCUUGACAACUGCAUAGGUGAGUCUGGAAAGAAUAAAGCAUCUCAUGGAUGCAUUAAUUCUUUUAAAUAUUAAUAGAAUUUUGUUUAUUCAUUAUUUCUAUUAUCGCUUGAAAGAUUAAUGUCAAAUUCUUGAGUAAGAGCCGAGACUCUGCAAUGCUCUUUUAAUACAAUAUUGUAUUGAAAGUUAGAUUUUUGAUUUUGAAUUUAAUUUGGUAUAAGUGCUAGAUAAUUUCUAUGCAAUUAUUCCUUAAGAUUGAAAAUCAAAGAGAACAGUGUUAACAACACAUUCGUUGUAGAGAUUAAU